ACGCUGGCGGCGUGCCUAAUACAUGCAAGUAGAACGCUGAAGGAGGAGCUUGCUCUUCUGGAUGAGUUGCGAACGGGUGAGUAACGCGUAGGUAACCUGCCUGGUAGCGGGGGAUAACUAUUGGAAACGAUAGCUAAUACCGCAUAACAGCAAAUGUUGCAUGACAUUUGCUUAAAAGAUGCAAUUGCAUCACUACCAGAUGGACCUGCGUUGUAUUAGCUAGUUGGUGGGGUAGCGGCUCACCAAGGCGACGAUACAUUGCCGACCUGAGUGGGUGAUCGGCCACACUGGGACUGAGACACGGCCCAGACUCCUACGGGAGGCAGCAGUAGGGAAUCUUCGGCAAUGGACGGAAGUCUGACCGAGCAACGCCGCGUGAGUGAAGAAGGUUUUCGGAUCGUAAAGCUCUGUUGUAAGAGAAGAACGAGUGUGAGAGUGGAAAGUUCACACUGUGACGGUAUCUUACCAGAAAGGGACGGCUAACUACGUGCCAGCAGCCGCGGUAAUACGUAGGUCCCGAGCGUUGUCCGGAUUUAUUGGGCGUAAAGCGAGCGCAGGCGGUUAGAUAAGUCUGAAGUUAAAGGCUGUGGCUUAACCAUAGUACGCUUUGGAAACUGUUUAACUUGAGUGCAAGAGGGGAGAGAGGAAUUCCAUGUGUAGCGGUGAAAUGCGUAGAUAUAUGGAGGAACACCGGUGGCGAAAGCGGCUCUCUGGCUUGUAACUGACGCUGAGGCUCGAAAGCGUGGGGAGCAAACAGGAUUAGAUACCCUGGUAGUCCACGCCGUAAACGAUGAGUGCUAGGUGUUAGACCCUUUCCGGGGUUUAGUGCCGUAGCUAACGCAUUAAGCACUCCGCCUGGGGAGUACGACCGCAAGGUUGAAACUCAAAGGAAUUGACGGGGGGCCCGC
This 908-nucleotide ribosomal RNA is filed under the name uncultured bacterium. RNAcentral's name for it is "bacterial SSU rRNA". It matches the Rfam family "Bacterial small subunit ribosomal RNA", at positions 33 to 924 of the family's 1533-position model. The record is from RNAcentral.